This 915-nucleotide long non-coding RNA is filed under the name Citrus x clementina. RNAcentral's name for it is "Citrus clementina (C. clementina) long non-coding RNA (CCLE_LNC000253)". The record is from RNAcentral. Lineage: Eukaryota; Viridiplantae; Streptophyta; Magnoliopsida; Sapindales; Rutaceae.
UAAAAUUCUAACUUGGCAUGUAAUAUUCAUAAAUUAGCCCAAUCUGUUACAUGUUUCAGGUUUCUGCAAUUCGGGAGAACAUUUUCCAGAUCUGCAGCAGCCGCAUGUUAUGAUAUUUUUUUUUAUAAUUUAACCAUAAUGAAUAAAUUACGAAAUUAAAUAUGUAAUCAUACGAGACAUAGAUCUGUUGAUAAAAAAAUUUCCAUAAUUUGUAAGGAUGUGUAACCUUACGGAAAAAUUUCUAGAAGUGAGAAUCGCUGCUGAAAAUUGGAAUUUUCCAGCACUAGUAACCCAAAUUCGAAAAACCAUAACAAUUUGCAUACUCAGAGGAUUUCCACACAAAACCUAUCAAUGGAAAACUUAGGAUGUCUAGUUUAAUGAUUUGUAAAUGAACUCAUGUGAUUCUAAAUAAAGAAAACGAUUUCAAGCAUUGAAUACAGACUGUUCAUAUCAUCACAGCAUUACAAACACACAUCUGUGGGAGUUACAAUUACACAUAAUUUACUAUUAUCAUGAUGUGGUGGUUUCAAAUGGCCACUUUUUGGCAAUUCAUUUUGGUAUUAAGCUAAAAGAUAAUGUUGAUUCUGUUGUCCAAAAGGUAACGCAUUUGGUGUUUUCAGAGAAAUUCUUUUGCUCAUUUCUUUGAAUUCAAAAUUUCCUAAAACAAUUAACAAUUAUUGUAUUCCAUUAUGAAUCUAUGAUGGCACUGUGAACGGGUGGAAGGAUGUUGAUUGGGUGUAGCAAGGUUAAGCUGCUCAGAACCAACCAAAGUGGUAUUGCGAGGUUUGGCGCUCAUUUUUUGCAUAUUUACGUGGAGAUGUGGUUGUUUCUUAAAUUUUUGGCGCAGUUUGGAUUGAGGUUGGGUAAAAAUUACAAAACUAAAAUAUUUAGUAAACAUUAACUAUUUUAAUGUGG